RNAcentral lists this long non-coding RNA (212 nucleotides) under Gossypium raimondii (Peruvian cotton). RNAcentral's name for it is "long non-coding RNA (GRAI_LNC001038)". The record is from RNAcentral. Lineage: Eukaryota; Viridiplantae; Streptophyta; Magnoliopsida; Malvales; Malvaceae.
CCUAAACUUAAAACAAUUUUUAAAAAAUGGGACUUCAAUCCAACUCCCGCCAUCAACACCUAAUCUGAAAUAAGCAGUAAAACAUGUAAGGUUGGUCAUCUCUGCCUAUACUGUUACAACUAUAUAUAAAACAUAUAAUAUCCCUAGGAACACUGUAAUUUCUAAUCUUGAAGGGCGCAACCAACCAACCACUGGUGACUUGCCUUCCUUAC